This 433-nucleotide ribosomal RNA is filed under the name uncultured bacterium. RNAcentral describes it as "partial 16S ribosomal RNA". It matches the Rfam family "Bacterial small subunit ribosomal RNA", at positions 355 to 799 of the family's 1533-position model. The record is from RNAcentral.
UGGGGAAUAUUGCACAAUGGGCGGAAGCCUGAUGCAGCAACGCCGCGUGAGUGAUGAAGGCCUUCGGGUUGUAAAGCUCUGUCUUUUGGGACGAUAAUGACGGUACCAAAGGAGGAAGCCACGGCUAACUACGUGCCAGCAGCCGCGGUAAUACGUAGGUGGCAAGCGUUGUCCGGAUUUACUGGGCGUAAAGGAUGCGUAGGCGGAUUUUUAAGUGAGAUGUGAAAUACCCGGGCUUAACUUGGGUGCUGCAUUUCAAACUGGGAAUCUAGAGUGCGGGAGAGGAGAAAUGGAAUUCCUAGUGUAGCGGUGAAAAUGCGUAGAGAUUAGGAAGAACACCAGUGGCGAAAGGCGAUUCUCUGGACCGUAAACUGACGCUGAGGCAUGAAAAGCGUGGGUAGCAAAACAGGAUUAGAUACCCUGGUAGUCCACG